AGAAUCAACGCUGGCGGCGUGCCUAACACAUGCAAGUCGAACGAGAAAGUGGAGAAAUCCAUGAGUAAAGUGGCGCACGGGUGAGUAACACGUGACUAACCUACCCUUGAGUGGGGGAUAACCUAGGGAAACCUGGGCUAAUACCGCAUAAUAUCGAGAGAUCAAAGGAGCAAUUCGCUUAAGGAGGGGGUCGCGGCUGAUUAGCUAGUUGGUGAGGUAAUGGCUCACCAAGGCUAUGAUCAGUAUCCGGCCUGAGAGGGCGCACGGACACACUGGAACUGAAACACGGCCCAGACUCCUACGGGAGGCAGCAGUGGGGAAUUUUGCGCAAUGGGGGAAACCCUGACGCAGCAACGCCGCGUGGAGGAUGAAGUCCCUUGGGACGUAAACUCCUUUCGAUCGGGACGAUAAUGACGGUACCGGAAGAAGAAGCCCCGGCUAACUUCGUGCCAGCAGCCGC
RNAcentral lists this ribosomal RNA (460 nucleotides) under uncultured bacterium. Its description in RNAcentral is "SSU rRNA". It matches the Rfam family "Bacterial small subunit ribosomal RNA", at positions 26 to 518 of the family's 1533-position model. The record is from RNAcentral.